Molecule: transfer RNA, 76 nt
Filed under: Bacillota bacterium
Lineage: Bacteria; Bacillati; Bacillota
Also listed under: 1 other name
Description: tRNA-Arg
Rfam family: tRNA
About the family: Transfer RNA (tRNA) molecules are approximately 80 nucleotides in length. Their secondary structure includes four short double-helical elements and three loops (D, anti-codon, and T loops).
Source: RNAcentral
GCGCCUGUAGCUCAGGGGAUAGAGUAGUUCACUCCGAAUGAAAUGGCCGGCGGUUCGAAUCCGCCCAGGCGCACCA